This 443-nucleotide ribosomal RNA is filed under the name uncultured bacterium. RNAcentral's name for it is "partial 16S ribosomal RNA". It matches the Rfam family "Bacterial small subunit ribosomal RNA", at positions 338 to 795 of the family's 1533-position model. The record is from RNAcentral.
CCUACGGGUGGCAGCAGUGGGGAAUAUUGGGCAAUGGCGGCAACUCUGACCCAGCAACGCCGCGUGAAUGAUGAAGGUCUUCGGAUUGUAAAGUUCUUUUCUAAGGGAAGAAGAAAGUGACGGUACCUUCGGAAUAAGCCUCGGCUAACUACGUGCCAGCAGCCGCGGGAAUACGUAGGAGGCAAGCGUUAUCCGGAGUGACAGGUCGUACAGGGUGCGUAGGUGGCUUGAUAAGUUGGUAGCGUAACGGCGGAGGUUAACUUCGAACCUACCACCAAAACUGUUGGCCUCGAGUGCAGGAGAGGCAACUGGAAUGUGUAGUGUAGCGGUGGAAUGCGUAGAUAUUAGGAAGAACACCGGUGGCGAAGGCGAGUUGCUGGACUGUAACUGACACUGAGGCACGAAAGCGUGGGGAGCAAACAGGAUUAGAUACCCCAGUAGUC